RNAcentral lists this long non-coding RNA (273 nucleotides) under Equus caballus (horse). RNAcentral describes it as "lncRNA (ENSECAG00000044274.1)". Lineage: Eukaryota; Metazoa; Chordata; Mammalia; Perissodactyla; Equidae. The record is from RNAcentral.
GCUCAGCUCCCCUGCUGACCCAGCUCAUGUUCGAACUUUCAAAGAACAGGAACAGAUUUUAAACAACUGAUGCAUCUUUUCAUGGCUGUUAUGAUUCCUGGGAAGUCCUCUGAGGGAGAUAGAGAAACCCUACACUGAUAGGAAUCAGCAGGGUACAGUUUUUUGUCGAAGUCCGUUGCAUCGUCCAGUAAGGAACAAAGUAGGAGAGGCCUCAGGGAUUCUGCAGGAGAUGAGCUGCCCGCUGGCCCCCUUCCGUGGGCUUGUGCCCCAGGG